CUACGGGAGGCUGCAGUGGGGAAUAUUGCACAAUGGGCGCAAGCCUGAUGCAGCCAUGCCGCGUGUAUGAAGAAGGCCUUCGGGUUGUAAAGUACUUUCAGCGGGGAGGAAGGGAGUAAAGUUAAUACCUUUGCUCAUUGACGUUACCCGCAGAAGAAGCACCGGCUAACUCCGUGCCAGCAGCCGCGGUAAUACGGAGGGUGCAAGCGUUAAUCGGAAUUACUGGGCGUAAAGCGCACGCAGGCGGUUUGUUAAGUCAGAUGUGAAAUCCCCGGGCACAACCUGGGAACUGCAUCUGAUACUGGCAAGCUUGAGUCUCGUAGAGGGGGGUAGAAUUCCAGGUGUAGCGGUGAAAUGCGUAGAGAUCUGGAGGGAUACCGGUGGCGAAGGCGGCCCCCUGGACGAAGACUGACGCUCAGGUGCGAAAGCGUGGGGAGCAAACAGGAUUAGAUACCCCGGUAGUC
This 464-nucleotide ribosomal RNA is filed under the name uncultured bacterium. Its description in RNAcentral is "partial 16S ribosomal RNA". It matches the Rfam family "Bacterial small subunit ribosomal RNA", at positions 339 to 795 of the family's 1533-position model. The record is from RNAcentral.